This 505-nucleotide ribosomal RNA is filed under the name uncultured bacterium. RNAcentral describes it as "partial 16S ribosomal RNA". It matches the Rfam family "Bacterial small subunit ribosomal RNA", at positions 899 to 1397 of the family's 1533-position model. The record is from RNAcentral.
ACUCAAAUGAAUUGACGGGGGCUCACACAAGCGGUGGAGCAUGUGGCUUAAUUCGAGGCUACGCGCAGAACCUUAUCCCGGGCUUGACAUGCACGGAUUAGCCGGCGGAAACGUCGGCGAGGCCGCAAGGUACAACGUGCACAGGUGCUGCAUGGCUGUCGUCAGCUCGUGUCGUGAGAUGUUGGGUUAAGUCCCGUAACGAGCGAAACCCCUGUGGUCAGUUGCCAGCGCGUCACGGCGGGGACUCUGACCAGACCGCCGGCGUGAAGCCGGAGGAAGGCGGGGACGACGUCAAGUCCUCAUGGCCCUUAUGCCCGGGGCUGCACACGUGCUACAAUGGGGCGGACAGAGCGCCGCGAGGCCGCGAGGCCGAGCUAAUCGCAAAAACCGCCCCCCAGUUCGGAUUGCGGGCUGCAACCCGCCCGCAUGAAGCCGGAAUCGCUAGUAAUCGCGGAUCAGCACUGCCGCGGUGAAUGUGUUCCUGAGCCUUGCACACACCGCCCGU